This 24-nucleotide non-coding RNA is filed under the name Arabidopsis thaliana (thale cress). The record is from RNAcentral. Lineage: Eukaryota; Viridiplantae; Streptophyta; Magnoliopsida; Brassicales; Brassicaceae.
UUCACUGGGUCGCGAGUUAAUGGU